RNAcentral lists this small RNA (522 nucleotides) under Malus domestica (apple). RNAcentral's name for it is "sRNA MD04G0001500". The record is from RNAcentral. Lineage: Eukaryota; Viridiplantae; Streptophyta; Magnoliopsida; Rosales; Rosaceae.
AAGAGAGAUGGAGACGGUGGCGGGUAUGGUGGUUUCGAAUAACCUGCAGAAGUGGGUGGUGGUGGCUGGCGGUGGACACUGCAACAUCCAUCGAUAACCACCUCAACUGAAUCACCGCAACAUGCAUCGGCUUGGGCGACCACCGAGUAUGCCUGCAAGGCAACAAAUUGAUGUUUUGGCUGUAAUUGUAUCUGAAAUUAGAUUGGAUACGAUGCACUUCUCUUGGAAAUUCGUUAAAGAUGUCUGCUCCCAUUAAGACUUGGCGCGCGUGUGUAUAAUUGUAUUGCUUCUCAUAGCUGGACGGAAUAGGUGAAGCUUUUACACAGGGCAUCUGAGAGGCUGACAUGACGUUAGGCUUAGCGAGAGCAAUUUCUUGUAAUUUCUUCAAAAUACGUUGCUUGUAUGGCCAAAUGCACUUUUUAUACUUUAAAACCUAAUUAGGAGAGAUUUAUAUGUCCAAUUCUCUACUGAAUUUUCUCAUCAGAUACUUUGAAUAAAGCCUAUAGUUUCAGUGUUUCAUUA